This 460-nucleotide long non-coding RNA is filed under the name Linum usitatissimum (flax). RNAcentral's name for it is "long non-coding RNA (LUSI_LNC007243)". Lineage: Eukaryota; Viridiplantae; Streptophyta; Magnoliopsida; Malpighiales; Linaceae. The record is from RNAcentral.
UAUAAUCAUAAAAAGCCAAUUUUUCAGGAAUUUUAGACCAAGCUUCAGCUAAACUUUGAUUUUCAGCUAAUCCCGCACCAAUUCUUCGAUAUAUUUCUUGCUGGAAAUAUCCUUGAUCCCAUUGAUAACGAGUGGGACCGAAUAAUUCAAUCGGUGUAGUUGCUGAACCAUACCACAUAGUUCCAGCAACAACAAAAGCUGCAAAAAAGACAGUAUAGUUCCAGCAACAACAAAAGCUACAAAAAAGACAGCAGCGAUACUACUCGAAAGGACAGUUUCAAUAUUUCCCAUACGUAAUCCUUUGUAGAGACGUUGGGGCGGACGGACACUAAGAUGGAAUAGGCCUGCUAAUAUGCCCAAGGUUCCUGCUGCAAUAUGAUGAGAGGCUAUUCCUCCCGAAACAAAAGGAUCAAAACAUUCCACACCCCACGUUGGAUUUACAGCUUGUACCUUUCCAGUU